AAUUGCUGACACUCUGACCAAUGAAAUAUUUUGGAGGGAUUAAUUGCAUAAACAGGUUUUUAUCCUUCUGUAUUAUAAUUUGGUGUCAUGCAUACAAAUAAAUCCAACAGAUAAAAACUUUGGAAGCUUUGCCUAUGAAUUCUUGCUUCAGCUUUCACCUGUUCAUAAUGAAAAAGUAAGAUUCUUGCUAGAUCACUUUCAUUCUCCCACUUACCAUCACCAGUUGAAUUUUGAAAAAUCAGACAUUUUUAGGAAUCGGUUUGGAUCGAGUCAAUCCAGUCGAGCUACCUUGACCCAUAAUCUAACAUUCAUUCCUGACUUAAAGGACGAAACUGAAAACCAUUUUCUAGCGUCAAGAGCAUACAUGUAGCUCACAGCAGCCGAGUUUACAGUUUAUUUAACAAUCCACAAUAUAGAGGUGAUACUGAUAUUUAAACACACUAGAAAGUGUAUUUCAAGUCAACGAAACUCGAAACUUCACCGCUAGAUUAUAUCGAGGGGGUAAAAAGGGAAUUGAGGACACUUCAAAUCAAUGUCUUCUCCUUUUUGCUCAAUCUCUUAUAGAAAUCAUUAAGCAAAUUUACCGUGAUCCUGCAGCCAAAAGAAAAACAUGCUUAGUCACAACCCAAUAAUUUUUCGUAAUUAAUGUAUAAACAUAUUCGCAGAGUGAUACUUUUUGUUUAUGUAGUUGCCAAUUGG
This 699-nucleotide long non-coding RNA is filed under the name Olea europaea subsp. europaea. The record is from RNAcentral. Lineage: Eukaryota; Viridiplantae; Streptophyta; Magnoliopsida; Lamiales; Oleaceae.